This 469-nucleotide long non-coding RNA is filed under the name Lathyrus oleraceus (garden pea). Its description in RNAcentral is "Pisum sativum (pea) long non-coding RNA (PSAT_LNC011263)". The record is from RNAcentral. Lineage: Eukaryota; Viridiplantae; Streptophyta; Magnoliopsida; Fabales; Fabaceae.
GCACCUGCAUUGUGCUAUGGUAUGCACAUGACAUGAACUAUUUAAAAUUAGAGCUGAAAGUUUGUAUUUUCUUUGAAUGAUGAUAAGAUAGAUAAUGAUUUAUGCUUGUUUAUUGGCUAUGAUUCUGAUGUGAAUAUGAAUUUCAAUUGAAUUUAUGAAUGAAGUUGGAAUGUGUUUAAAGUGGUGGAUGUUUGAUUUGUUUCUUUGAUUUUCAUGGUGAGUUGUUAUGGCAUGUGAAAUUUAAAUGGCUAAUGUAUGAUCAUGACUUAAAUUUAUGGGUUUGAGAUCAAGUUUUGAAGUGUGGUUUGUAUUUUUGUGAUGAUUCUGACUUCCAUACUUGAGCCUUGAACGCAUUGCUAGUUUUUUUUGCUGAAGUGUAUUGGUGAUGAAUUGUAUGUUUAUCACCUUGAUGUGAAUUUGUUCUUUAGUAUGCUUUUGAUAGAUUAUGAUGGGUUGUGCAUAACUUGAC